GAUGAACGCUGGCGGCGUGCCUAAUACAUGCAAGUCGAGCGAACAGACGAGGAGCUUGCUCCUCUGACGUUAGCGGCGGACGGGUGAGUAACACGUGGAUAACCUACCUAUAAGACUUGGAUAACUUCGGGAAACCGGAUCUAAUACCGGAUAAUAUAUUGAACCGCAUGGUUCAAUAGUGAAAGACGGUUUUGCUGUCACUUAUAGAUGGAUCCGCGCCGCAUUAGCUAGUUGGUAAGGUAACGGCUUACCAAGGCAACGAUGCGUAGCCGACCUGAGAGGGUGAUCGGCCACACUGGAACUGGGACACGGUCCAGACUCCUACGGGAGGCAGCAGUGGGGAAUCUUGCGCAAUGGGCGGAAGCCUGAAGGAGCAACGCCGCGUGGGUGAUGAAGGUCUUCGGGUCGUAAAACCCUUUUAUUAGGGAAGAACAAAAGUUGAAGUAACUAUGCACGUCUUGACGGUACCUAAUCAGAAAGCAACGGCUAACUACGUG
RNAcentral lists this ribosomal RNA (497 nucleotides) under uncultured bacterium. Its description in RNAcentral is "partial 16S ribosomal RNA". It matches the Rfam family "Bacterial small subunit ribosomal RNA", at positions 28 to 507 of the family's 1533-position model. The record is from RNAcentral.